Non-coding RNA from Acanthosepion pharaonis, 113 nucleotides. The record is from the annotation of a GenBank genome assembly. Lineage: Eukaryota; Metazoa; Mollusca; Cephalopoda; Sepiida; Sepiidae.
UACGGUCACAUCUCGUUGAAACACUGGUUCUUGUACGAUCACCGAAGUUAAGCAACGUCGAACCUGCUCAGUAACCAGAUGGGUGACCGCUUGGGAAUAAUAUGUGCUGUAAG